Pangasius djambal is the source of this 71-nucleotide non-coding RNA. The record is from the annotation of a GenBank genome assembly. Lineage: Eukaryota; Metazoa; Chordata; Actinopteri; Siluriformes; Pangasiidae.
GGUAGUGGUAGCUUAGUGGUUAAGAUGUUGGAUUUUUGAUCGGAAGGUUGAGAGUUCAAAUCCCAGCACCA